RNAcentral lists this ribosomal RNA (497 nucleotides) under uncultured bacterium. Its description in RNAcentral is "partial 16S ribosomal RNA". It matches the Rfam family "Bacterial small subunit ribosomal RNA", at positions 28 to 507 of the family's 1533-position model. The record is from RNAcentral.
GAUGAACGCUGGCGGCGUGCCUAAUACAUGCAAGUCGAGCGAACAGACGAGGAGCUUGCUCCUCUGACGUUAGCGGCGGACGGGUGAGUAACACGUGGAUAACCUACCUAUAAGACUGGGAUAACUUCGGGAAACCGGAGCUAAUACCGGAUAAUAUAUUGAACCGCAUGGUUCAAUAGUGAAAGACGGUUUAGCUGUCACUUAUAGAUGGAUCCGCGCCGCAUUAGCUAGUUGGUGAGGUAACGGCUUACCAAGGCAACGAUGCGUAGCCGACCUGAGAGGGUGAUCGGCCACACUGGAACUGAGACACGGUCCAGACUCCUACGGGAGGCAGCAGUAGGGAAUCUUCCGCAAAGGGCGAAAGCCUGACGGAGCAACGCCGCGUGAGUGAUGAAGGUCUUCGGAUCGUAAAACUCUGUUAUUAGGGAAGAACAAAUGUGUAAGUAACUAUGCACGUCUUGACGGUACCUAAUCAGAAAGCCACGGCUAACUACGUG